AGGAAAAGAAAGGAAAAAAAAAAAGAGGGAAAGAAGGGAAAAGAAGGACGCAGUUGCACGAUCUCUGUACUUUUGAAGAACUGCCAGACUCCAAAGGGUUGCCAGUGCACGAUCUCCAUACUGCCAGUAACUGCAACGACAACGUCGGGUUCAAAUGGAUCAGAUCGAAGAAGCAAACGAGAAAGGAACAAAAAGGAGAACAAAGAAACAAAGACAAGCAGAGCAAAACUAAAUCAAAAAGAAGGAGAAAAUUGAAGCAUCUUAUCGGCAGACGUGGGAUUUACCAUUUGUAUAACCCGCUUACCGAUUUCAGUAGCAAUCUUGAAAGAAAACUCAUACGGGUGGAAUAAAAAAGCAUAUCGAUGCGGACCUGUACAUCCACUCGUUAAGGCCGGUAUCUGAGCAGUUAGGCUUCCAGGAAACCCCUUUGUACUUUUCCAUCGGAACUAAAGGUUUUGCCGGUUGGCUUCUAAGAUGCUUUGGUAUAUUCUAACGCAAUGCAAUGGAAGCGAAAGGAAUGAACAAAGUAAUUGAACAAAAAAAGUAAAGAAAAACUAAUAGAGUGGGUUAAGGAGUGAACAAAGGAGGACAGAUCCGCCACUUCUUUCACCGACCCUCAAAGGCCUAUACCGUCUUAUUUUUCAGGUGUAUUUUUGAACUAUAUGAAAUUAUGAACUAUAUCAAUGAGAAUUCUGUAAACUAAGGAGAAUCAGUUUUUUAUGAUAUCAAUUGGUAGUUCAAAAGUUAGUAAGAGGGAACUAAUAAUUGGUGUCUACUAAAUAACUGGUGCGUUAGUUGUGGGUGAUUAUACUGAAACUUAUAGGUGGCAUACUAGUACUAUAUCUUGGGUUUUUUUAAUUGCAUAUUGUUGUCAGUCAUUAACCUUAUGUCUUAAUUGACAAGUACUUCUCAAGGGAUUGUCCAUUUCGUCGUUCAGGAAAUACUCUAUUGUCUUGAACAAACCAUUUAACACUCAAUUGCAUAUGUUACUGCUAACAGUUCUACAACAUCAAACGUAUAUAGGAAUUGAAGCGUAAUAUUGAGGUAAUUAAUCAUAAACCGUACUUGGUUAAAUCGGACAGAUA
Fragaria vesca subsp. vesca is the source of this 1085-nucleotide RNA transcript. RefSeq lists it as uncharacterized. The record is from RefSeq and is a predicted model, not a curated record. The transcript has 5 exons. NCBI's taxonomy places the organism in Eukaryota, Viridiplantae, Streptophyta, Magnoliopsida, Rosales, Rosaceae.